Molecule: long non-coding RNA, 2266 nt
Filed under: Erythranthe guttata (spotted monkey flower)
Lineage: Eukaryota; Viridiplantae; Streptophyta; Magnoliopsida; Lamiales; Phrymaceae
Description: long non-coding RNA (EGUT_LNC001690)
Source: RNAcentral
UUAAAAUUAAAAGAAAAUUAAAAAUAAGUUACUUUAGUAAACAAAGAAGAGUGACUGGCUAUAAAAUGUCGUAUAGCCUACGUUCAUGAUCAAUUUCAUACCAGUCAUUUGGAUGGAGACUCGUCAGCCUCAAUAUUGCAUCAGACAUCUAAUAGUUGUUCAUUUGUACCAAAAUUUAUGUACAACAAGAAAAUAAGUGAUAAUUCAUAGAAGAACUUUUAUGGAUAUUACCUACUACAUGAAUCACCGAAAGUACCGAAUCCUCUGUUAAUAUGUUCCAUCUAAUACCUGAUUACAUAAAAAAAAUAUGUUAUUUGUAUGUUCUAUCUGUAAAGAAAGAAAAAAAACAAGUAGCAGAAAGAGAGUUUAUUCAACACAUGAAAAAAAUGGAAUGAACUAUACUCAUGUCUAACAUCUCUGUUAUCUAGUUUUAUGAAAAAGAAUUUGUAUAAGGCAAUUUUUUUUAGGCAGUUAUGCAAAAAUUUAAAGAAAACACAAUAUCGUGAAUGAAAUACAUGGUGGAAAAAAACAACUGAGAACAAGAAAACUAUAUGCAUUCACAAGUUGUUAAGAAAGAUAUAUCAAAACAUAGUAUAUGUGCUUCGUGAUGAAAUCCAUUAUGUAUAGCCAAGCAUAGGACUCGGUCUACUAGUCUACAAAUGAGAACCUGCAAAAACGUAUGUAUACAUUAAUUGGUUAACUACAAUAUAGAAAUUGGCAGAUUUUUUGUCAUAAUUGAUAAUGUAACCACUACAAGAAAAAAUCAUCAAUGUAAGAAAUCAGUUAAAUACCUCAUGAUGCUCUGUCCUCAAUAAGAACCACCCCAUCACCCUAAACAUCUAUUUCAAGCCAAUAAUUUCAACUGGGCACCACUUGACUAAUGUAGGAAGGUGUUUCCAAUGAUUUUGAAAAAUGUGUCACCUAUAACUAUAUAACAAACCUUGAACGAAUCCUACGAAAUUCGAUAUGCAUAAAGGAAAACUUCAUCAAUCGCGAUCAUAUUGACAACUUACAACUUAAUGAGAUUCAAUCCUCAAAUAGAGUUUGAAGAUGGAUACUAAACCAAGAAGUUAAUGAUAUUCUCAUAUAUUAAAUCAUGUAAACAAAGAAUAUUUUUUUCUAUUUAUUUUACCAUAAUAAUGCACAUUAGAUGAGAAGUUGCAGUUUCAAGUGAAGAUCAAGAGAUUGAAUCCGUUGAAAGUUUUACAAUUCCAGUAUACUAACCCCACUCUCACUCAAAGAAUCAAAUCUUAUUAAAUAGCUAAAGAACUGAAUCGUAUAUACUAAAGUUACAUACAAUAAUCAAUAAUAGCUAAUAAUUGAGCAUUGUAAUUAUAAAUUGAUAAACGAAUUUGGAGCAUUGUAAUUUGAAAAACAUAUAAACAACCAAUACCAUUCAACAAAAGAUUGGGUAAAUCCAUGGUUCGCCAGAACGGCAUCGGAACGGCCGUUCCGGAACGGGAACGGUGCCCUCCGUUCCGGAAUCCGUAACCAGAACGGUGUUUGCACCGUGACUCGUCGGAACGCCGAGAAAUCGGUGGGAUGGGAGAGACGGAGCCACGGAACGGCCCCGACGCGGCCGGAACGGGAAAAAAGAUUUUGAAAAAAAAAAAAACUAAUUUGACUAAAAAAAUAAGGAAAAAAAAACAUAAAAAAAUAAAUAAAUAAGUAAUAUGAUGAUGGUGGCCACGUUAGAUAAUGAAGUCUAGGAAGAUUCCCCAGAAUCUCACAGAUCUUUGGCCUCACUUUUCAAUUAUAUCCUACACAAUUCCAGUUCGGUAUUCUACUUGGUAUUAAUAUUGCUUGUAUUUUCAUAAUAUUCGUUGUAAUAUUUAUUUUUUACAUUGUAAUAAUAUUUUGCAUAUUAUUGAAUUGUAAUAUUAUUAUUAAAAACAUAUUUGAAAUAUAUUGUAUUUUUAUAACAAUUUAAUUAAAAUGUGUCCGUUCCGGCCGCGACGCAGCCGCGACGUUGCAACGGAACUGGAACGGCAGUGUCCGCGACAAUGCACUGUUCCGUUCCGACGAACCAUGGGUAAAUCAGUAGCGAAUAAUUGAGUAAAUUUAGGGCUUUUUGCAAAUAAACUAGAAUCCAAAAGAAUCUCGAAAUUGACAAUUAUACAUACAUAAAUAUGUCUAUGGCAGAUCGAUUGCGAAGACUGAAGAGAGAUGACAAUCUUUAAGCAUUGAUUCGAGCCUUCGUGGCACCAACAAUAGAUAGAUUUCGCUUGCGCAAGACAUACCUGCUAUAGUCCGGAAUUAACAGAGA